GAUGAACGCUGGCGGCGUGCCUAAUACAUGCAAGUCGAGCGAACAAAGUAGGUGCGUGCUCCUCUGACGUUAGCGGCGGACGGGUAAGUAACACGUAGCUAACCUACCUAUAAGACUGGGAUAACUUCAGGGAACCUGAGCUACUACCAGAUAAUAUAUACAACCGCAUGGUUCAAUAGAGAAAGACGGUUUUGCUGUCACUGAUAGGUGGAUCCGCGCCGCAUUAGCUAGUUGGUAAGGUAACGGCUUACCAAGGCAACGAUGCUUAGCCGACAUGAGAGGGAGGACGGCUAGACGGGAUGUGAGACACGGCCCAGACACCUAGGGGAGGCAGCAGUAGGGACUCUUCCGGAAUGGGGGAAAGCCGGAUGGUGCAACGUCGGGUGAGUGAUGAAGGUCCUAGGACCGGAGAAUGCUGUUAUUAGUGAAGAACAAAUGUGUAAGUAACAAUGAACGUCUUGACGGUACCUAAGCAGAAAGCCACGGCUAACUACGUG
RNAcentral lists this ribosomal RNA (497 nucleotides) under uncultured bacterium. Its description in RNAcentral is "partial 16S ribosomal RNA". It matches the Rfam family "Bacterial small subunit ribosomal RNA", at positions 28 to 507 of the family's 1533-position model. The record is from RNAcentral.